Bos taurus (domestic cattle) is the source of this 1366-nucleotide long non-coding RNA. NCBI's taxonomy places the organism in Eukaryota, Metazoa, Chordata, Mammalia, Artiodactyla, Bovidae. The record is from Ensembl.
GGCCAGCAAGUUCCCGGCCUCCUCAACCUGCCCCUUACAUUGAGGGCAGAAGUCGUGGGAUGACUUUUUGACUGAGCCCUAGACAAGCUGGGAAGAAGGGACCCUGUCUGCUGGAUUCCACCUGUGCCCCUGGUCCAAGAAGGCAGAUACCGACCCAUUCCUGUUGUACAUUGUCCUCAAGGCAUCAAGUCUCUUUGCAAGCCUAGCUCCUGCUGCACUGUGAGCCCUCCAUGAAUAUUUGAUGAAACUGAAAUAUGCAGGAGAGACUAACAUGGAGACGUCAGGCGAAGUCACUAUUUAUGUCACUUUGGAAGCAUUAACCCAUUUCAGCAAGGGUUACAGGAUGGUUCUGAUGCGCGGUGGAGGGGGGUGGUUGGGCCUCCUGAGUCCUGAGGACCUGGGCAGAGGGAAGCGGAUGAAGGGCGGCUGGGUCAGCAUGAGAAAGCCCGCCCCACCAACUGAGAGGCGCUUACAGGGAAGCUCAAAGUAGGGCAUUCACAUGUUCACGGACAAGGUUGGGGACCAAGCCCCAGGGUGAGAGUUAACAAUGACUGACCGCCAUGUUUUCUUACUCCCCAACUGUUAGGGGGGAUGUUGUGAUUUUGUGAAAUUAACGUAUGUGAGUGAAGACAGGGCAACUGAUGGCCGGCAGAGGUUCAACAACAGAAACGGAAACAGAGAAGUUUAUUACUCCCGGGUUCUGGAGGAGGGAACGUUCAAGGCUGGUCUUCGUUUGUUUUUUAUUUUAACAAACCCAUUUUCCUGAUGGGGAAAUUGAGAAGCAGAGAGAUUACAUGGUUCACCCAAGGCUUGUGGCUGCAAAUGGACCUCCAGUCAAGAGCCAGGCCCCCACGCUCGCACACAUACAUGCUCCAGACGUGGAGGAGGGCAUCGUCCGCCCAAGAUAAGAAAGGGAAAUACGGUAUCCAGGCCUUGCGAGAAGGCUCUCGUUGCCAAUGGUUGAAGCCCAGUUGCCCAUGAAGGGGCCAGAACCCGAUUGUGCCUUGGGGGCUGGGAGUCAGAGUCACAGCCCCACGCACAGUAGCAGGUUCUAGAACUGGCCCUCUGCAUAUGGCUGGAGACUGAAAGGGACUGUGCUUUUGUGAGACUGAAGCAAGCCGCUCCCCCAGUGGCUCUGGGCAGAGUCCUCCCGCAGAAAGUGGAACGGGCCCUCCACGUGGUACAGAAACGCCAAGUGGAGAAACAAGAUGGUUCACCAGAGGAGCCACCCGACUCGUGCUGCAGGCGCACGUGCGGCUCACGCAGGGCAUCUUUAGAGGUUUACUUCUGCUGACCAUGAACUCACGGUGAUGCCGAAGCCCAUGAGACCUGCCUCUCGUGCAACAGCAGGUGCAGCAAAUGGGCC